CCUACGGGAGGCAGCAGUGGGGGAUAUUGGUCAAUGGGGGAAACCCUGAACCAGCAACGCCGCGUGAGGGAAGACGGCCUUCGGGUUGUAAACCUAAGUGAUCAGGGACGAAGGAAGUGACGGUACCUGAAAAGCAAGCUCCGGCUAACUACGUGCCAGCAGCCGCGGUAAUACGUAGGGAGCGAGCGUUGUCCGGAUUUACUGGGUGUAAAGGGUGCGUAGGCGGGAAAGCAAGUCAGGUGUGAAAUACCGGGGCUCAACUCCGGGGCUGCGCUUGAAACUGUUUUUCUUGAGUGAAGUAGAGGCAGGCGGAAUUCCUAGUGUAGCGGUGGAAUGCGUAGAUAUUAGGAGGAACACCAGUGGCGAAGGCGGCCUGCUGGGCUUUAACUGACGCUGAGGCACGAAAGCAUGGGGAGCAAACAGG
This 424-nucleotide ribosomal RNA is filed under the name uncultured Caldimonas sp. Its description in RNAcentral is "bacterial SSU rRNA". It matches the Rfam family "Bacterial small subunit ribosomal RNA", at positions 338 to 776 of the family's 1533-position model. Lineage: Bacteria; Pseudomonadati; Pseudomonadota; Betaproteobacteria; Burkholderiales; Sphaerotilaceae. The record is from RNAcentral.